This 5702-nucleotide long non-coding RNA is filed under the name Gallus gallus (chicken). The record is from RNAcentral. Lineage: Eukaryota; Metazoa; Chordata; Aves; Galliformes; Phasianidae.
CAAAUAAUCACCAGAGAAACAUUCAAAAUCAUGUAUUUCGAUGAGAAUUUCAUAAAACAAAGAUUAAAAAAUACAUUAAAAGGAGACAUCGAGUAUUUCAAAAACCUCUGUUUUAUUUGUACAGAGUAAAAUACAUCGUAUUGCGAACAUCGUUUUCAUUCCAUAAUCGAAAGCCAUUAUUAAGUGGUCUUCUUUUCACCAAAUACCCUGGUCAGAAGCACAGACAAUGGAAAUAGGAAAGCUAAUUAGUCUCUCUCUGCCAGAGCUACAAGGUGCAUGUCAAUCUCUGUUUCUGUAAGGAUCCUGAACUUCGGAUUUUCCACUGUAACUACACCAACUUCUAUUUCUGAAGGUUUGAAAUCAAUGGAUAGUACAGUAGACAGACAUGUUAUUGCUGUCUCUACAGUUUGUUCAUACGUCCAAUCAAAUUUCUUCUUUACUUUCUUUUCAAGGAAACUGGUCGACUCUGUCUGUUUAACUCCUGCAGCCGUGGCCUUGAAUCCACAAUAGUAACCUGCCGGAUCACACUUGUACACCUGAGGGCCAUGCUCUUCAUCAAUACCAAUCAAAAUCAUACAGCAACCAAGAGGCCUCAUUUCAGCAUUUUGCGUAUAGACCUGAGAAAUAUCCGCAAUCCUUUUACAUAGCAUAUCCACAGGGAUGUCGUAGCCAUACUUGUACUUCCAGUUAGCAGCCUCAUAGCGGGCUCUCUGCACCUGGGAUCUGCUGUCAGCUGUCAUUCCUGUCAUCACACAGCCAAUAUUUUCAGUAAUGCUGAACAAAUGAGUUACUGUGUUGGAAUCCAGUAACUUGUCAGGUACUUUCUUCUGCGUUACGAUUACUGCAGAGUCUUUCCCACGAACAGCUACAGACGUAAGUCCGCCCUGGUUUAUGGCCUUAAAAGCAUACUCGACUUGGUAGAGGCGGCCCUCGGGCGAAAAGAUGGUGAUGUGGCGGUCGAAGCCGGCGCUGGAGCCUCGAGACAUGGCGGCAGUGGGAACGGCACGGCCGAGGGGCUGUCAGCGUGCAGGACCCCACCGCUACCGCAACGGGCCGCCGCCGGAGCGCUUCCGGGUCACGGGAGGCGCGCAGGCGCUCGAGGACUCCCAGCUCGCGCACCGUCACGCUCCAUCCCCACCACUGCGCAUGCCCGAACUCCGCGGCACCCAUCGGCCUCGCGCCUCUCCUCUGGAGAGCGUGCGCAGUAGGGCCUGGUCACGGUACGGGCUGAGGGGCGGCGGGCGGGACGGGGGCUGUCGUGUCGUGACGUGUCGCCUCCGCCGGACUAUCCGGGAGCCGCCGAGGCGCUGCCUGGCGGAAAGAGGUGCGGGGGGGCGGCGGUGCCGCGGGACUACCCAGGGAGCGGAAAAGUAAAGCCCCGGUGUGAGCUGCGCGGGCAGCCCGGGGAAGAACAGCCCCUUCGCUCUGCAAACAAAGCGUUUCCACGUGUUGUCUUAAUGAGCGGAAUUUUAAAGAAAUCCGGCAGCCCCAAAGAGGACGGUUAGGGUACUUCUGAGGAGUCAUUGUUCCUACAGCCGCGUCGCAUCGCAUCGCAGCGCGAUGUUUGCAGACUGCCUCAGCAGCCCAGUGCGGAGGGAACCUCCCGUUUAAACUGGUGAACGCCCAUCUGCCUUUCGGCAGCCUGGAUUUCCCCCGCUCGGGGGGGAGGUCUUUGUUUUUCUCUUCUUUUUUUUUUAAGUCAGGCCAUCGAAAGCCGUUUGGAUAAGCACACCUCCGAUUUAAAAUAUUAUUAACUAACUCCGGGUGAAAUAGGGGAUGCCAGGUGCGUUUUGGGGCGCGCUGUUUGCCCCACGUUAGGCCUGCUUUAAUAGCUUAUAGCUGUCCUUCUUUAUUAACGGGACACUGAGUAUUUAUUUACAAGAGGCAGUUUUUGUCCCCUUCGUUUUGGAGAAGUGUUGUGGGCGGAUAAAGAAUGUUCAAAAUGUGUGGUGAGAAGUCUCCAGCCCAGUGCCCCAUCACCAGCUGUGACCAAAAGCAAAUGCCCAAGGACAAGCAUUAAGGCUACAGAGAGCCUUUAAUGAUGCAUUCCCUGAAUAUCCUCCCAGCCUCCUGCUGUCUGCAGGGACUUCCCAAAACAGUGAUAGCAUCUGGUUAUUUAACAGCCCGUGCUGGGUUUUCUCUUUCAUGAACUCGCUGGUUUCCCUUUUAGCUCCUGUGAACCGCCUGCAUCCACUACACACGGUAGCAAAGGGCCGCUCAGCACAACAAUGUGUUGUGCAGUUUCAUCUGAACCUUCUAUCUGCCACCAUCAUUUGAUGCUGCUUCUGCACUGGGAAGAGACAGCGAACAAUCUGUCCCCAUGCAUACCCUCCACAACACUCAAGAUUCCUAAAACCUCUUUCUUUUAAGUUCUCUUUUCUUCUGGGCUGAGGAUGCCUCGCUUCUUACUCCUACCAUACAUGAAGCUAUUCUAUCUUGCAGCGUUGGAGUUUAAUGCCAGAUAUUUUAUUUUUUCCUAUGAGAAAAAGGAGACGAGAAAAGCAGAAGGAAUGCUCAAACAUUUCAUCAAAUUGCCAAAAAGCAACCAAGCAAGAAAAUCCUUGACUUUUAAGUGUUUGGAUUCAAAGAUUCAAUAUUUUACUUAGACCAAGACUGAGAUCGAACAGUUGCUCAAUGCCAUCCAUCAGUGUGGCAGAGUAGAAGUCAAACUACUUCGAGGAUACAGCUUCUAGAAGUCUUCUCUACCUAUGUAGCAAUUUCAUCAAAUUCCAAAGCAUGGUUUUGUUUCACAAGAGUAAUCAAAUAUUUUCCAUGUAAUAUCCAUCAUCUCUUAUCAGCCAUAUGAGAAUCAAAGUGUGUGCUGAAAGCUUCUGAGAAAGACUGCUCUCACACCUUUUUUAACAUUAUAAACAGUAAAUGGAUGAUCUUGGAGAUGAAACUGACCCCACAAUAGCUACAAGCACUGGUUCAAUCAGUUCACUCUUCCUCCAGUCUGCCUUCCCAAUGCAUCUCUAUAACCACAGCAUGCCAAAGGCCAAGCUGAGCAUUCAUUUCAUCUCAUUCCCCUUCCCCUCACUUAGUGGACUAUCAAAGGGCACCUGUGCCAUUUGCAGUGGCUGCAUUUGGAGGACUUGCCAGAAUUGGCCUUUCUGGAUUUAAGUACAAGCCCAUCAAUUUGAUAAACGAAUACCAGGAAGACAUUACAAUUCUUGUGGGUUUUUUUGUUUUGUUUGUUUGAUUGUUUUUUUACAGCACUAUUGCACUAAAGGGUAUUGUGUCAAGUAGAUCUCGAUGUGCUGUUUAAUUGUUGCCUAUAAGAAUUUCUAGAUACUGCCAAUUUUUGUUUAGAAAAUUCAAGUAUUUCCAUAAGAAACCUAGUCCAGUGGCAUGAAAACUUGUUAGAAGUAGCAAAUCUAAGACUGUGAAAGAACAACACAGUAUUUCACCAGUUGUUUCUUACAGACAAAAUCUUAAUGUAUGUUGUUAAAACAAAUCUUUUGCAUUGAAUGUAAUCAAAUGAAUUCUAAUUAAAGCGAGGAAGUAUUAGAACUAUGUGUGCCAGACCAAUGGCAAUCAUGCCAUUUGCCCCAGUAAGCUUUAUUUGCUAGGUUCUAUGCAAUACUGCAAGGUCACCAUGCCAAUUUUGAAGGUACUCUGAAAGUCUUGCCUAACUUUUCUGAAGAACAGUUCGUGAGUUUCAGUGUAGAUGAAAAGCUUCAGCAAAAUAAAAUAAAAUUCAAUAAAAUAAAAUAAAAAAAAAACAACCACAUGACCUGAAAUUCCAGAGGGAAAAACAAGUUUUAAUUGAAAUCACAUGGAGAGGGUACAGAAACCGCUUGUUAAGAUGAAAAUAACAGACCUAAUUCUUCCUUGCUGGACUACCAUUCGUGUCCACAGGUUUAUAACAAGAAUUUGUUUGACAAAAAGCAGCUACUGAAUUUUCUUUAGUUAUAGGCCUCAUACAUUAAUCCCAUAAUUGUAGUGCUGAGUCCUCCUAGUCUGCAGCAGCUGCCUAGCAAAACAAAAACAAACAAACAAAAAGAACCCAUCACAGAAGAAGCUUCACCUUGUGCAAUUACAUUGUUCCGUAUUUCUGCUGAAGGCAAAGCCAUUUUCUUGGUAUUUGAUAUGAAUAUUUUUCCUCAAAAGUGUCCUUAUAGGGGAUGUGCCAUGUGUCACCCGUAGUCUGUACCACACAGUCAUAACUGCAAGCAGGCUGUGGGAUAAAGGAAAAUAAAAACCAUUUUUUAGAUGUUAUCUCAUACAUUAGUAGAACACUGAUUAUAGCUAGCUAUUUCCCUUAGAAAUCUGCACAGACUCAUCUCUUUAGCAACUCUCAAUCAUUUGCUCCCAAAACCAAAUUAAGACAUCUUUUAGUGUUUUGAGGUCUAGGUGGCAUUACAAAUGGCUGCAAUUCUGUCUUCAAUCUCCACCAGGUAACAAUGAUUUGGACACAACACAUUACAUUUUGAGAAAUAAAAAAACUGUUUUUCUGUUCAGUUAAAUGAAAUCAUAUGGGAAUUAGUUCAGGAUGUAGUGUUUGGCAGCUUGAACUCACAGGGCACAUUAAAGACAUCCUGCGUUUGUCCCUCCAGUGUACCUCCACAAACUGAUUUGUAUCAAGGAUGUUUUAAGAAAAGGAGUUCUCAACCACACUUUCAAGAACAGCCAGUCAGACAAAUAUAACUCUGGUCUACUGUGGUACAGGUAUAUUAACUCAACAUAUGCAAAACAAAUAUAAAAAAAAUCACUGGUUUGCAAUUAUGGUUCUCAGAACAUAUUGUCACUCUGUGUUUAUACACUUGGAAGUCUACGAUUGGGAAUGUCCAACAUCCAAAAUCAUUCACAUGUGAAUUAAGAUUUGAAAAUUACUAGCCCUGCUACAACAAAAUAAGUACAGCUAAAGCUGUGUUACUCAAGUGACUCUACAUCCAAUAUUUGUUUCCAUUAAUAGGAAUGUGUAUAGCAUUCAUCUUUCUGUAUAUAGCUGUCAUCUUUAUAAACCUGUAUUUCUGCAGUCUGAUUGUAGUGAAGAGCAUUCAGUUACAAUUUUAACUGGAGCAGUAAGAAAAUGAAUCUAAAUAAGUGCAGCAUUGCUUUAAUUCAGCAGUAAGAAUGGAGGUAGACUGGCCACCAAGAAACCACAUGAUAUGCAAUGUCACAUGAUUGAUUUUUCCCCAGAAAAAUCUGUUCAAGGCUCACAAGGACUUCUGUCUCCUACACACACACACACACACACACACACACAUACACACACAAAGUUAAAAAAAAUAAUAAAUACAGCAUUCUGCUCUAAGAUGAUAUUGUGCUCGGAAGUCUGUGAUUUCAGAAGCUAAAUACCAACUACAGCUCUGACUAUUCUGGGAUCUCCUUCGUGAAAGUUUACAGAUAUGCUUGGAUAACGUUACAGUGAAUAUUGAGAUUCAGGUAUUUUCUUAUGGCUUCUCCUUUAGCAUGAAAACGAGAGAAAUUCUAUUACACAAUUAGAAGCAUAAUAGUGCUACAGAGGAGAAUUAUAUAGUUCAAAAUUUAAAUCAAAUGAAAAAUACUAACACAUUUUACAGCAGCAGACAGACUAUUAUACACAGAAAUAUAACUACAUUUACAUUAUAAACGUUUAAGGUGGCAAUUUCUUAUUUCCUGACAGCUUUCAUGUUUUGUGAAUAUGCUUUGUGAAUACAGUCAAUCUUCAGUAAAAAUGGAAGUUUUGAGCCCACUGCUACCAAUCUGCUUCUUAUGCU